CCACGCGCAUCAAGAUCGAAAUACACGGAUCAUUUCACCAAUCCCAAGUCCUCUAAAGGUUUUACAGAAUGUUUGUAAAAUAUAUAUAGUGGAACGGGGAAAAAGUUAUUGGAGACUUGGAGCUCUGAAAUUAGCACGGCAAUUCUUACUUAUUUAUUUCUUUAGUGUGAGCAGGGCUGGGCACAUCAUAAUCCAUUUGGGGAUUUCUACAAAACUACAGUAUCCAUAGGAAGAUCAGAAGAAAGGGCAUUGUUAUUUAAAAGAAAAUGGGUGUUAACAAUCUAUUGUCUGUUUUUUUACUGCACUCAUCUUGUGUAAAAUCAGAUUUCUGAAAUACAAAAUAACCUUUUUUUUA
Daphnia pulex (common water flea) is the source of this 355-nucleotide long non-coding RNA. RefSeq lists it as uncharacterized. The transcript is spliced from 2 exons. The record is from RefSeq and is a predicted model, not a curated record. NCBI's taxonomy places the organism in Eukaryota, Metazoa, Arthropoda, Branchiopoda, Diplostraca, Daphniidae.